RNAcentral lists this ribosomal RNA (253 nucleotides) under uncultured bacterium. Its description in RNAcentral is "partial 16S ribosomal RNA". It matches the Rfam family "Bacterial small subunit ribosomal RNA", at positions 524 to 776 of the family's 1533-position model. The record is from RNAcentral.
UACGUAGGUGGCAAGCGUUGUCCGGAUUUACUGGGCGUAAAGAGCGCGCAGGCGGUCGAUUUAGUCGCGUGUGAAAGCCCCCGGCUCAACUGGGGAGGGUCACGCGAUACUGAUCGACUCGAAGGCAGGAGAGGGUAGUGGAAUUCCCGGUGUAGAGGUGAAAUUCGUAGAUAUCAGGAGGAACACCGGUGGCGAAGGCGGCUUUCUGGACGACAACUGACGCUGAGACGCGAAAGCGUGGGGAGCAAACAGG